UCCUACGGGAGGCAGCAGUGGGGAAUUUUGGACAAUGGGGGCAACCCUGAUCCAGCCAUGUCGCGUGAGUGAAGAAGGCCUUCGGGUUGUAAAGCUCUUUCGGCAGGAACGAAACGGUCCGCGCUAACACUGCGGACUACUGACGGUACCUGCAGAAGAAGCACCGGCUAACUACGUGCCAGCAGCCGCGGUA
RNAcentral lists this ribosomal RNA (193 nucleotides) under uncultured bacterium. Its description in RNAcentral is "partial 16S ribosomal RNA". It matches the Rfam family "Bacterial small subunit ribosomal RNA", at positions 337 to 522 of the family's 1533-position model. The record is from RNAcentral.